UGGCUCAGUGGUAGAGCACUUGCUUUGCAUGCCAGAGGCCCUGGGUUCGAUUCCUCAG
This 58-nucleotide transfer RNA is filed under the name Dipodomys ordii (Ord's kangaroo rat). It matches the Rfam family "tRNA", at positions 8 to 63 of the family's 71-position model. From Rfam's summary of the family: Transfer RNA (tRNA) molecules are approximately 80 nucleotides in length. Their secondary structure includes four short double-helical elements and three loops (D, anti-codon, and T loops). Lineage: Eukaryota; Metazoa; Chordata; Mammalia; Rodentia; Heteromyidae. The record is from Rfam by way of RNAcentral.